Molecule: ribosomal RNA, 476 nt
Filed under: uncultured bacterium
Lineage: Bacteria
Description: partial 16S ribosomal RNA
Rfam family: Bacterial small subunit ribosomal RNA
Source: RNAcentral
GAUGAACGCUGGCGGCGUGCUUAACACAUGCAAGUCGAGCGAGUGAGUUCUUCGGAACAAUCUAGCGGCGGACGGGUGAGUAACACGUGGGCAACCUGCCUCAUAGAGGGGAAUAGCCUCCCGAAAGGGAGAUUAAUACCGCAUAAAAUUAUCGAGUGGCAUCACAUGAUAAUCAAAGGAGUAAUCCGCUAUGAGAUGGGCCCGCGGCGCAUUAGCUAGUUGGUGAGGUAACGGCUCACCAAGGCGACGAUGCAUAGCCGACCUGAGAGGGUGGUCGGACACAUUGGGACUGAGAAACGGCCCAGACUCCUACGGGAGGCAGCAGUGGGGAAUAUUGCACAAUGGGGGAAACCCUGAUGCAGCAACGCCGCGUGAGUGAUGAAGGUCUUCGGAUUGUAAAGCUCUGUCUUUGGGGACGAUAAUGACGGUACCCAAGGAGGAAGCCACGGCUAACUACGUGCCAGCAGCCGCAGUAA